Molecule: long non-coding RNA, 488 nt
Filed under: Brassica rapa (field mustard)
Lineage: Eukaryota; Viridiplantae; Streptophyta; Magnoliopsida; Brassicales; Brassicaceae
Description: long non-coding RNA (BRAP_LNC003811)
Source: RNAcentral
AUGAUAGCUCAGAGUGUGAUCUCUCAAAAUAGAUUCCAAUCUUAUGUUGCUCUGGGUCAGCCAAGAUGGCUCUCUUUUUUGUUUCAGUUAGAACGUGACGGUAGAUAGUUUCAAAGUUUUUGUGUACUUGGUUGUUAUACUUUUGUUUAUAAUGAAAAGACCAGAUGGAAAAAAAAAAAAAAGCUUAUACAAGUAAAACUAAAAAUGGUUGCUGUUCCUUAAUGGAAGUCUCCAGAUCCGACCAAAACCAACAAAGCUUUGAGUUGUUCGGUUUUGUCUUUUUAUUGUGUCGAUACGAUCUCAGACCCAUAACCAAUAGAUCCCCCGAAACAGUAACACUCGUCUUUUUUUCUCAUCAAACCAAGAAAAUAAAAUCACCUGAUGUCUGCCGAGCGUGCGCUCACGCUCCAUGACCAGCUUCCACGUGUUAACGGGGACCCAUGGUCUAUAGUUUAUGGGACCCGAGUGGUUAACCGGAAACGACGGAU